AAACCUGCGAAACUCUAAUGAACGAACGGAGAGAUUCAUCGUCAUUCCGCGGCGUACCCGUUCGCGCCUCGAUGUCUGCGCGCGCGCGUCUCACGGCGCGUCCGCGCGUACACGGGUCGUACGGGUCGACGUUCGCGGACGGCGUGCACUUCUCUCUCAGUACACACCCGCCGCAAGGCGGGGUGGAUACAUCGCGACCCGUUCGCGUAGUCGGUCUAAGCGUCGUCCGGGAGCCUAGCGGCCUGCGUCUAAACAACGCAUGCCGUUAGACCGCGACGUACGCCGCCCGGCUGCGGACGGUAUAUAAUUGUAUGGGAAUCGCGCACGCGUAUCUACGCGUCAGGCCCGACGCAAGCGUUCCGCGUCCACGUCAGCGUCCUGCCUAUGCGCGGACGUCGACGUGGCGCCGCUGUCGUCGCAGCCGUGUAGUCUCUGACUGUGCGCGUAUCCGUCUGCGAUGUUUCAGUUUCGGGCACUCGCAGGAC
This 485-nucleotide ribosomal RNA is filed under the name Dercas verhuelli (tailed sulphur). Its description in RNAcentral is "partial 28S ribosomal RNA". Lineage: Eukaryota; Metazoa; Arthropoda; Insecta; Lepidoptera; Pieridae. The record is from RNAcentral.